Leopardus geoffroyi (Geoffroy's cat) is the source of this 544-nucleotide long non-coding RNA. RefSeq lists it as uncharacterized. The transcript is spliced from 2 exons. NCBI's taxonomy places the organism in Eukaryota, Metazoa, Chordata, Mammalia, Carnivora, Felidae. The record is from RefSeq and is a predicted model, not a curated record.
UUCCAUUAAUAUAUAGUUCUAGAACAAGCAAAACAAAUCUAUAGUGAUAGAAUAGUAGCUGUUGCUAGGAGAUGCGAAAGGAUAGACCAGGAAAGAACAUGAGAUAAUUUAAAACGUAGGUUUUAUUAUUAUUCAGGUAUGCUGAGGCCAACAGAUCAGGAGAUGACCACCAUUAAAAAGAUUUUGUUACUCACAGUUCCCAAGAGGAGGGGGCCACUUCACACUAUGCAAGGCCACAUGGGGAAGCACCAGGGUCAGUUAGGAGGCAGGAGGAGUCAGAGGAAAGAAAACAAGGCUGCUCAUUUUCAGAGCAAACAUGAGAUGACCAGAAGCAGACGUGGUUAUGACCAAUAGGAAGGUGCUAGACAGCUGGUGACGAGCAGCUGCUCUAUUUCCACUGAGAACCAAAUAAGAGUUUGCAAAGAGGAUUUGGGUCACCAGUUAGCCAUUUCCAGGAAGAACUCUGAAACUCAGGGGCUGAAAGCCAUUGGAAUGUUAUAGAACAGACUCACCAAUCUGCCCUCAAUGUUAAAAAAGGACAUGA